CCUACGGGAGGCAGCAGUGGGGAAUAUUGCGCAAUGGGGGAAACCCUGACGCAGCGACGCCGUGUGAGUGAUGAAGGUUUUCGGAUCGUAAAGCUCUGUCAGGUGGGAAGAAUAAGGUCUGUGAAAAUAUUGCAGUCCGAUGACGGUACCACCAGAGGAAGCACCGGCUAACUCCGUGCCAGCAGCCGCGGUAAUACGGAGGGUGCAAGCGUUGUUCGGAAUUAUUGGGCGUAAAGGGCGUGCAGGCGGGUAUGCAGGUCAGGUGUGAAAUCCCUCGGCUCAACCGAGGAAGUGCAUCUGAAACCGUGUAUCUUGAGUACGAGAGAGGCAGAUGGAAUUCCCAGUGUAGAGGUGAAAUUCAUAGAUAUUGGGAAGAACACCGGUGGCGAAAGCGGUCUGCUGGCUCGAUACUGACGCUGAGACGCGAAAGCGUGGGGAGCAAACAGGAUUAGAUACCCUGGUAGUCCACGCCGUAAACGAUGUGCACUAGGUGUUGGGGGUAAUUAAACCUUCAGUGCCGCAGCUAACGCAUUAAGUGCACCGCCUGGGGAUUACGGUCGCAAGACUAAAACUCAAAGGAAUUGACGG
RNAcentral lists this ribosomal RNA (588 nucleotides) under uncultured delta proteobacterium. RNAcentral describes it as "bacterial SSU rRNA". It matches the Rfam family "Bacterial small subunit ribosomal RNA", at positions 338 to 916 of the family's 1533-position model. Lineage: Bacteria; Deltaproteobacteria. The record is from RNAcentral.